AGUCACUGACAUUAGAUACCCCGGUAGUCCAGGGUGUAAACGCUGCAGACUUGGUGUUGAAGGCCCUUUGGGGGCAUUCAGUGCCGGAGAGAAGUUGUUAAGUCUGCUACUUGGGGAGUACGUCCGCAAGGAUGAAACUUAAAGGAAUUGGCGGGGGAGCACCGCAACGGGAGGAGCGUGCGGUUUAAUUGGAUUCAACACCGUAAACUCACCAGGGAAGACUGUUACAUGAAGGCCGAGAUGAAGACUCUGCUAGAUUUUCAG
This 264-nucleotide ribosomal RNA is filed under the name uncultured archaeon. RNAcentral's name for it is "partial 16S ribosomal RNA". It matches the Rfam family "Archaeal small subunit ribosomal RNA", at positions 718 to 982 of the family's 1478-position model. The record is from RNAcentral.